AGAAAACGGCUGUCUAUCAACCAGGAAGAGGCCCUCACCAGAAUCCGCCACACUGACACCCUGAUCUCAGGAUUCCAGCCUCCAGAACUGCGAGAAAUAAAUUUCUGUUGUUAAUAAGCCACCUAGUCUAUGACAUUCCAUUAUAGCCUCCCUGGCAGAUGAAGACGCUCAGUCUCCCAGUUUGUCAAACAAGGUCUGUACUAUCGGCUUGCUGGGGUAGUUAAGUCAGGAUUCACCAGCAAUGUGUCUGGCCUGGGUACCCCAUCAACCGUGAGUUCCUUCCCUCUUCUCUAGUGUUCAAGGCCCCUGUAUAGAAUAGAAUGCUCUCCUCCUUCUCAUUCAGAGGGUUUGGGAUAUGGGAAGGAUCCCUUACCUGAUGAUGACUUUAACCAACAAAAGCGAAGUCAUCAUUUUCAAAUUUUGGACCUCACUUUCAUUUUCUCUCUGGCAGGGUGAUUGACACCGUAUCACAUUUCCCCUGCAGCCAGAGCGCGCGUUCUAUUAUAUCAUCAAUUACAUACGGACACACAUCUGGGUUCUUGGGUUCUUGCAGCUGAGCGCUCAGCUAUCUGGGAGAAGAGGCCCCGUCCCGUCUCGGCUGCAGCAGAUGAAGACUGGACCAUAUGCCGAUCGCUUGGCUGGACCCGUGAAUCUGAGA
This 658-nucleotide long non-coding RNA is filed under the name Homo sapiens (human). Its description in RNAcentral is "long non-coding RNA NONHSAT155304.1". The record is from RNAcentral. Lineage: Eukaryota; Metazoa; Chordata; Mammalia; Primates; Hominidae.